AUACGUAGGGGGCGAGCGUUGUCCGGAAUGAUUGGGCGUAAAGGGCGCGUAGGCGGCCCGGUAAGUCUGGAGUGAAAGUCCUGUUUUUAAGAUGGGAAUAGCUUUGGAUACUGUCGGGCUUGAGUGCAGGAGAGGUAAGUGGAAUUCCCAGUGUAGCGGUGAAAUGCGUAGAGAUUGGGAGGAACACCAGUGGCGAAGGCGACUUACUGGACUGUAACUGACGCUGAGGCGCGAAAGUGUGGGGAGCAAACAGGAUUAGAUACCCUGGUAGUCCACACUGUAAACGAUGAAUGCUAGGUGUAGGGAGUAUCGACCCCUUCUGUGCCGCAGUCAACACAAUAAGUAUUCCGCCUGGGGAGUACGGCCGCAAGGUUGAAACUCAAAUGAAUUGGCGGGG
This 397-nucleotide ribosomal RNA is filed under the name uncultured bacterium. Its description in RNAcentral is "partial 16S ribosomal RNA". It matches the Rfam family "Bacterial small subunit ribosomal RNA", at positions 523 to 918 of the family's 1533-position model. The record is from RNAcentral.